CUUAAAAUUAGUUUUCUGUAGGCCUAAUCUUUUCAUUUUUUCAUAAAUCUCGGGGAGAAUAUUCCUACUAUUUAUGUCCUUAGGUUUUCUUAUUAGCCGCAUUAUUUCCUUAUGUAAUUUUAUUUUGUUCUUAGGCGGUGGUUGAUCAACUCUCCUUAAUAGUUUGCGCUCUCCCUCUCUAUCUCUCUCUUUGUCGUUGUGACGACGUCGUAUUAGCAUGGUGUAACUUGGCCAGAGGUAGAAAUUUAUUUUUCCAACGAUGGUCAACCACGAUAAAUGUCAGAUGGAAACUCAAAAAAGAAUCUGUCGAGGCUGGUAAAUGGUGAUAUUGAACUAAUGUAGUCGAUUUUGAGGGCAAUUUGUUUUUUCAUUCUGAAAUUAUUCAGCUUUGAGUAUCUUCUUGGAUUUCAGAUGCCAUAUUUUUUCUCUCGUUUUGAUUAUAUAAAGUGGCGCAAUUUCACAAAAAAUAAGGUAAAUUGGUGUAAUUUUACUUCUCUCUCUCUUGGUGAUUUAUAGUCUUUCGGAAAAUUAGCAUCUUUGCUUAUGAUGUGUUCUCAUUAACCAACAUGUAAUUCUCCAAAUCUCAUGUAAGGACCUUUUACGGUUAAAAGAAUGAUAAUUUCUUGAAGAGAAUUUCUUUGAUUUUAAUCAUUAUUCAAAAGUAAUUGCAGUGGUGCCUAUUGCAUUUGUAAUUUGAUUUGCUUCCAUUGGCUGAAAGCAGAUUGAUUGUGUUUUUCUUUUUGUGCCUGCUCUGGGAGGUCGAGAUGAGCUUCAAGUAAUUUAGGUUAUAUUUAAGUAAUUAUCCUUAUAAUUUGAAUGUAGUCAGGUAUAUUUGAUUUUACAUAAUGUACACAUGUACUACAACAAUAUAACUUAAAAACGUUAUAUUAAUUUUAGAUGAUCGUGAUUUUCGCUCUAACAGUUAAUUAGUACAACUAAUCAUGUGAUUGAUGUGCCUCCCAGUGAACUGACUGGACUCCAAUUAAUACAGGUGAACAAAUAGAGUAUAGUAGGACGCUUGAGAAAAUCACUUUACGUGUGCAAACCUACAGCGUGCCUGGUGAGUCACCAUUAAUAAUUGACUUAGAAAGGUGAACACCUUGGCUAGAAAAGCGCAGUGAAUAAAUAUUUGGUAAACGAUAUAUUCUUUUUCAAGAUAGAGGAACUUGAACCCUACAAUUUGGGAAGUCCAGAUUUCAGUACCAGCCUGUGGUUAGCAAGCAAGUUACAGGCUUCUUUACCUAGCUGAUUGUAUUUGUAAUACUCUUUUCGGUAUCCUUCCUAAUAAAUCUGAUGUUCUCAAAGGGACAUGUUUGUAAUAGUCUUGAGCUUGACCAAUGAUAACAUAAAUGCUUCGCUUGAAUGGAUUAUUCAUAUUUGCAUUAUAUGUUGCAGAGUUUAUUGUGGUGAUUUUAAAUUAUUUUUAUUUCUUGUGCAUUUCGUGUGUUUGAAUCAAUCUGCUGACACUUCCUCAAUGCCCUUUAGUUGCUUUCUCUCUCAGCAAAUAUUAACUUUUUUACUAUUUUUGUUGUGUCACUGACUUCUUCUGAGCACUUUCUGCAAAAAUUAAAAUCGUUAUUUUUGAGAACUAUACGAGUAUAUUUCUUCUUUUUCCAAAUGGAGCACGCAAAUUCUCCUCAACCGUCAAAGAGAAGGACUGCAGAAAGGGAUUAUUUAGAGAUAAUCCUGGUCUUAAUGACGAGGAGGAGAUAUUUUAGCAAGAGGGUGGAUAUUUCAAGAGACCAACUGAUGAAGUGAUCACAAGGAGAAGAAUUGUUAAAAUUCAUUGCCAUUAAAAGGCAUCAGCUACAACCGCUCCUUUAUCUAACUCUUCUUACAGGGAUCCGCUUGAUUCCACCUACUGAUAACAUACCACUUUAGAAGCGCAGUAAAAAGACGGACAAGGUAAGACUUACCAAUUAUUUUCUCAAGAAUCUGAUGUCCUCUUGCUGAAGUAAGAAAAAAGAAAAAGAGAUCCAAUAUAUUCUAUUGUUGUUAAGUUCGUCGCCGUUACACCGUAAGUUUGUGAUAUUUUGUGUCUUUUUUUCUUCCUCUUUGUGGAAUUAACCACUAAUGCUUUAUUUGGGCAUGUUACCUACAUCACACCCCUCGGUUCUUUCCCUGACACUGCGUCAAUGCAGGAUAUUUUUUGCACUAGGCUGCCCUUUGUCUGUUUUCUUGUUUUGGAUCUUGCUGAUUGAUCUUUUUGGAGAUUCAAAAUCAAAAUAGUCCACAGGUUGGUAGUAUAUGUUCAUAGCUGGGCGACUUUGGAGAAUAAGAAUUUUUUAUGUGAGAGUUAGGUACAUUUCACAGAUAAUUUAAACCUCGCCAUAGGCAAAAGCCUGGUAUUAAAGUGUAUAAGGGGUGAUACUCGGACAUUAUGCCUAUCUAUGACAAGUAUAUUUGAAAUUGGGAUGUAAUUUAGGUUAUAUUCAUUUGGUAUUUUGUUUGAAAUCGUACAUUUUUUUCUUGCAGUGUUAGUGAUUUUAGGACACGUAAUUAUCCUUCUAAUUUGACUGUACUCCGGUUAAUUAAUUUGAUUUUAUAUAAAUGUAUACAUGUACUACAAUAAUAUUAACGAUCAUUAUUUUUGCUAUAACAUUUUAUUAGUACAAUUGACUAUGGGAUUGAAGUGCCUCCAAAAAAGUAGUAAGAUUUUUUUAUUGGUUGUUUUAAGUCUCAAAAAAGAUAUGGAUCCAACUAGAUCAUAUAAAUAAAAAGGAAAAAGAAUCAUAUUCCUUGUUUAAUGCUGGAUCAUAUCAAAAUAGAAGAAGAUUAAUACUGUUGUGGUACUCAGCCAGAAGAGGAUUUGCCAGCUCUAUGGGAAAUGAACUCAGACCAGCAUUAUACUUUUGGGAGGCAUGAAUCAAGUUUAGCUGCAGAAAACUCGAGGUACACAUGAUAUAUGUUCUGUUAGUAGUAGAAAAUUUUAAUAAUUAAACUCCUUUGCUAUUGAAAUGUUUAUAUAACUGGUGUCGGUAAUUUCUUAUACAUACCAUCAUCAUACUAUGUUUUUUCAGGUGGACUAUUUUUAUGAGUAUAGAGAUGAAAAGAAGAUGCAAAAAUCUUUAUAAAAAGGAGAACCUCUAGGGUGCCGUUAUUGGCUUUUUUGGUUAUGUGGGGGUAGACCAGAGAAAUAAAUGUAUAGAUGAGUUUACAAGUUGAUUCAAAUAUUUUCUUGGUUUCUUCAAUUUGUGUGCAAAUUCUUGGAAGCCAACUCAAAUUUUGGAUGGGCAAAAAAAGGAAGGUAUAGAUUCAGCUUGGGACAUCAAGAUCUCUAUCUUGUUCCUCUCUAUUCCAUAUUAUUUUUAAUGUUUGAAGGUCGAAACUUUGUCGAACAAACAUUUUAAUAUCAUAAAAUUUAUGUUAAUCCGCAAGGAUUUCGCUAUUUUUAUGUUCAUUUUUCACUGUAAG
Molecule: long non-coding RNA, 3414 nt
Filed under: Nicotiana tabacum (common tobacco)
Lineage: Eukaryota; Viridiplantae; Streptophyta; Magnoliopsida; Solanales; Solanaceae
Description: long non-coding RNA (NTAB_LNC014697)
Source: RNAcentral